CCGGAAUUGGCAGCUCGGAGAAGUGCUUGAAGUAGAUCCUCGGGAUAGCUUGGAAUCCCGGGGGCGGCAAAUUUAUAGGCUGGUACCUCGACAUCCAGAAUCGGAGGUGACUAGAAAUCUGAAUCCCCGAGAACAACCCUCGAGCAUCGCUCACAUUCAGAAGGGAGGGGGGAUUCAAUCCAUCAGACCCAUCCAAAGUUGCGUGGGUCAUUACUUGCUCAAACUCGCCGUCCCCAGAACGGCCAACGGGUAGCAACUUUGGAACGCCAUUCAAGGCGAUCUCGCAAUGAGCGAACCCAGAGGGGUUCACAGCUCCAAGGUAGGUGUUCAAGUCGAGGUCUGGGUCUCGACUGGCAUUCAAAUCCACGGG
Molecule: long non-coding RNA, 370 nt
Filed under: Zostera marina
Lineage: Eukaryota; Viridiplantae; Streptophyta; Magnoliopsida; Alismatales; Zosteraceae
Description: long non-coding RNA (ZMAR_LNC004148)
Source: RNAcentral